GACCUCAAAUCGGGUGGGACUACCCGCUGAACUUAAGCAUAUCAAUAAGCGGAGGAAAAGAGACUAGCAAGGAUUCCCCUAGUAACGGCGAGUGAAGAGGGAAAAGCUCAAAUUUUGAAUCUGGUGUCUUUGACUCCCGAGUUGUAAUCUAGAGAAGUGUUUUCCGUGUCGGACCGUGCACAAGUUCCCUGGAACGGGGCGUCAUAGAGGGUGAGAAUCCCGUAUAUGGCACGGACUGCCGAUGCUUUGUGAUACACUCUCAACGAGUCGAGUUGUUUGGGAAUGCAGCUCAAAAUGGGUGGUAAAUUCCAUCUAAAGCUAAAUAUUGGCGAGAGACCGAUAGCGAACAAGUACCGUGAGGGAAAGAUGAAAAGCACUUUGGAAAGAGAGUGAAACAGUACGUGAAAUUGUUGAAAGGGAAGCGUUUGAAGUCAG
Molecule: ribosomal RNA, 435 nt
Filed under: uncultured fungus
Lineage: Eukaryota; Fungi
Description: eukaryotic LSU rRNA
Rfam family: Eukaryotic large subunit ribosomal RNA
Source: RNAcentral